AGGACGCAGACAGCAAGAUCCGUGCCAUAGCCCUACCAAUACUCAGCACCCUGCUGCAGCUCCUGGAUGGGGCUAAGAUCAGCCUCAUGGCUCUGGAGCUGUCCAGCAAGCUCCCAGUACUCUUUAAUGACGUAAGGAUGGAAGGGAGCCCAGAACACGAAGGAUGUGGGUUUGAGCCCAGUGUGCCCAUUCCUGCUGCCCUGUGACAGCGCACCAGGGGACUUCCUGGCCGGUCUUCAGUUCCAGGCGCUGCAUGCCCCUGGGCAGACUUUCUGCAGGGCAGAGCUUGCAUGCUUUAGAGCAGUUCUGGAGCCAUCCUCAGGAUAUCGACUCUUUGAAAGGGUAGAUAACAGGACAAGGGGAAAUGGUUUUAAGUUGAGAGAAGGAAGAUUUAGGUUGAAUGUCAGGGGGAAGUUCUUUGCAGAGAGAGAGGUGAGGUGCUGGAACAGGCUGCCCAGGGAGGUUGUGGAUACCCCGUCGCUGGAGGUGUUCAAGACCAGACUGGAUGGAGCCCUGGGCAGCCUGGUCUACUAUUAGAUGUGGAAGUUGGUGGCCCUGCAUGUGGCAAGGGGGUUGGAGAUUCAUGAUCCUUGAGGUCCUUCCAGCCUUGGCCAUUCUGUCAUUUUGUGAUCUGCCUGCAGCCUCCCAGCUCAGAGAUUCUGCCCCCACUUCAUUGAUGGUGAUGGCCCUGCUUGCCAUGGAGGUGGAGCUGCUGACACUGACAUCCUUCCUUUCUUCCUUCCUCCUCUGCAGGCGUCCAGCACUGUGUGGCAGCUCUCCAUCGACCUCUUCUUGGAAAUGUUGAGCUUUGUGGAGGGCCAAGGGAAGAGGAAGAUGCAGAAGGAGGUGUGCAAGAACUUGGCCCUGCUGUAUCUGCAGCUGCAUGAUGAGAAAGACAGUGUGGCCAAGGCCUCCCAGAAAGCCCUCCUCAGUGCCGCAUUGUUCCUGUGCUGGAGGCGGCUGGAGCACCUGGUGCAGACAGCGCAGUUCUGGCAGAUCAGCGAGUGCCUGGUACGCACAUUCCCACACUCCAGGACAGGGUCGGGACCACCCUGCGCUGACCCCGCACUCUUCCCUCUUCCCUCUCCAGCUGGCCAAGGAAGAAUGCGGCAC
Molecule: long non-coding RNA, 1113 nt
Filed under: Phasianus colchicus (ring-necked pheasant)
Lineage: Eukaryota; Metazoa; Chordata; Aves; Galliformes; Phasianidae
Description: lncRNA (ENSPCLG00000016670.1)
Source: RNAcentral